GCACCCCUCUUGUGCAAAGGAACCGAGCCACUGACUUCACUGGCCAGAACCGAACUUUAAAAGCGUAGCAAGCACUGACUUUCCUUUUUGGCCAAGACACCUCGAAAGUCAAGUAAGCAGGCCCCUGCAGUGUGGCAAAGCUGCCAACUGCUGGACUCCUGGAAGGGGUGUAACGAAAUCUCUGAUGGAGAAAAACAGGAACUUCUUGAGAGGAGGAACAGGGUAUAAAACACAGGCAGCGACCUCCUUACAUUGCUGAAACUCUAACAGAAGAACAGGUGACUUCCUGAGAUCUCCAGACGGCACCAAGAGAGACGCAUUAGGAGCAACCUGCAUCUGAAGCUUCUAAAAAGACAACCAAAUCCUUAUUUCCUGAGUCUCCAUUUUCAUUUACCAAGCAGAGGUAGUUCUUCAGACGAAAAUCCGGUCCACACAGAGGCACACAGCCUCCAGAAGUUAGUGUUGGCAUUAGAGAAAAUGUGACUGUCCUUUCCUUGGGUAAGUAAACGAUUUCCUCAAAUAAUUUCAGCAGGAGGGUAUGAUUUUCUGAGCACGGAGGCAUAGUUGUAUUUGAAAAAUCAUUCUCAAAGUGGUUCUCCCUUGGGGGUUAUCUGUUUGUAAGUAAAUCAGCUUUUAGUUCAUUCAGUCUCUUGUUCUUAUUUAAAGGAAGGCCACUCACUUCUGCAGACACCCUCAACACGAGUCACUUUGUGCUCGUAACAUCCUUGGAGGGUGGGGAGCUCAGAGCUGGCAGAGCCCCAACCUGACUUGCUGGCUUCUUAGCAGCAGGACAAGCUUUGUGUGAGUUUAAGAUGUACCCAGGGCUGAGAAUCCUGCAGUUCUCUCAGAGAGAGCCACGCUUCUGAAUUUGUUUAGAUUUACUGUCAUAUACUGAAAGAAAUGACAAAAGGAGACAUCUACUCGACCCCUCCAGCAAACGGUUUUCAUUUCUGAAUUCCCUUCAGCGUGCUUCCAACCAUAUCUAAUUUUUGCAAAUCACAGGAUUUAUAUAACUUUGUUUUCUGCUUUUUUCCCAGUCAUUCAUAAAACUGUCCCACAUUGUUUACGCUUUGUUUAAAAUGAAAUGACUGAGCACAGAACCAUCAUUUCCGUAACCACAUCGCUGGAUAAGGAGGAGAUUUCCAGAGUUGGUGAGACUGCAGUGAACACCUUCAUAGAGAGGACCACCUGCCUUUGGAUGUGUUCACUAGGGAGUUCCCAGCGGUCCAGCACAGCCAAGGGACAAUGAUCACGAUGUGCCAUGGAGGGACUGAAGACCACAAGGCACACUGUGCCUCAGAUGAGAGGAAUCCAUCCAAAGGCUUCACCCAGCCUCUUUUCCCUGCUCCUGCUGUCUUAUUUACUCAGCUUUGCACAGCUACCUGCUCCAGGGGCCACCAGCUUCUCACCCAACCUGCAUCAUUUCCUUUUCUUCCAACUCUCGGUUUGACCCUGGAGAGCCAAGAAAGCUCUCCCUGCUCCCCUCCUAAGGGCUGGCUUGUACCAACCUCAGGGCUCUCCUGCUGGGGUUUAGCCUUAUUAGGUCCCUGCCACAUCUCUGGGGUGGGGCUGUGUGGCCUUUUACAUUCAUUACUCAUCACAACUUCCUCCAGGACUAGCACACGGAGGCCUAGGCCUAGACAUGAACUAAGGCAUUUCCUGAGAUCUUCAAAAUAUGUUAGAAGUACAUUUCUGUAAUGAGCAUCUUAAUGGACGUUUGUUGGCCCAUAUUUGUUUACUGAUGCCAGACUAUCAUCUUGCUUUUGUGGAGGAAAACCCCCUAAUUUCACAUUCUUAAAUCAUGAAAGACUGAAUGCAGUUGCUCUCUGAUCUCAAAAGGAAGAGGAAAUUUGCCUCAUUUAAGUAAGUAGUGAGCACAUGUGUGUUCUGUGCGUGUCCUCCUUAACCUGGGCAGACGGCAUCCGAUGCCACUGCUGGCACAGCUUUCCCUACUCACACACAAGUGGACAAGGACUUCCCUGAGAGCUGUGAGCCCACAGGAGUCCCUGGCCCCAAAGUAGCGCCCCCCCCCCCAAAUCUCCUCCCAGCCCCACAACCAUCAAGCCUCAUCCUAUUGCAAAUUUCUAUUGAAA
Molecule: long non-coding RNA, 2093 nt
Organism: Camelus dromedarius (Arabian camel)
Lineage: Eukaryota; Metazoa; Chordata; Mammalia; Artiodactyla; Camelidae
Exons: 2
Source: RefSeq, a predicted model, not a curated record